GACCUGCGGAAGGAUCAUUACCGAGAGCCCCCUCCCGUGCCGCAAGGUCGGGCGGCGGCCAUUCUCACACCCUUUUUUAUGCGCACCUUUUGUUCUUCCUCGGCGGGGCGACCCGCCGACGGAACACAUCCAACCCUUUUGCAUGCAGUAUUACUUGUUCUGAUACCCUAAAUCGUUACAACUUUCAACAAUGGAUCUCUUGGCUCUGGCAUCGAUGAAGAACGCAGCGAAAUGCGAUAAGUAGUGUGAAUUGCAGAAUUCAGUGAAUCAUCGAAUCUUUGAACGCACAUUGCGCCCCUUGGUAUUCCAUGGGGCAUGCCUGUUCGAGCGUCAUCUACACCCUCAAGCACUGCUUGGUGAUGGGCGUCUGUCCCGCCUUCGCGCGCGGACUCGCCCCAAAGGCAUUGGCAGCGGUCCCGAUCGCCCUCUCGCGCAGCACAUUUGCGCUUCUCGAGGCGGCGGGUUCGCGUCCACGAAGCCCUUUUUACCACGUUUGACCUCGGAUCAGGUAGGGAUACCCGCUGAACUUAAGCAUAUCAAUAAGCGGAGGAAAAGAAACCAACAGGGAUUGCCCUAGUAACGGCGAGUGAAGCGGCAACAGCUCAAAUUUGAAAUCUGGCCCUCUUUGGGGGUCCGAGUUGUAAUUUGCAGAGGGUGCUUUGGCAUUGGCGGCGGUCUAAGUUCCUUGGAACAGGACAUCGCAGAGGGUGAGAAUCCCGUACGUGGGCGCCUGCCUUUGCCGUGUAAAGCCCCUUCGACGAGUCGA
Molecule: ribosomal RNA, 766 nt
Filed under: fungal endophyte
Lineage: Eukaryota; Fungi
Description: eukaryotic LSU rRNA
Rfam family: Eukaryotic large subunit ribosomal RNA (bases 495-766)
Source: RNAcentral